UCCCUAGUGGCUCAGAUGGCAAAGAAUCUGCCUGCAAGGCAGGAGACCUGGGUUCGAUCCCUGGGUUGGGAA
This is a non-coding RNA of Bos taurus (domestic cattle), 72 nucleotides long. The record is from Rfam. NCBI's taxonomy places the organism in Eukaryota, Metazoa, Chordata, Mammalia, Artiodactyla, Bovidae.